ACCCGGACUCCCGUCCGGGCGCACCGGCUGUCCUCGGAGCUCUACCAGCAGGCUUUCAUGGGAGCGGAGGUGCCAAUGUUUCCAUUGUGCGGUAACCGCUCUUCAUCACAGCCACCUCCAAUCGAGGCCGCACGGUGUCCCCAGAACCGCGCUUGGUACAACGUGCCCCGACCGCUGCGCUCGACUUGGGAGCGCGCCCCGCCCCGAGCGCACGACCUCCCUUCCCUCUCCGCGACUUGAGCUUGCUUCCCGGAAAACCAGUGUAGUGGCAGCGGUUUGCCUCACAGCGCCCCUGGCAGCACUGAGGAGUAAAGGAAUAUUUGGGAGGAUCAGAAGCUUGGUCCUGAUUUUGCCAUCAACCAGGACCUUGAUGACUUCAAGGGAGUCCCCAAACCCUGGGUUUCUGUUUUCUCAACUCUAACAUGAGGGGCUAGACGCAUCUGGUUUAGUUCGUCUCCAUGAUCCUGUGAAUUUCAGAUGUUGAAAAUCUUCAGAAAAGCCCUGAAAGAUGAAGAGUCUUCACCAAACUCCUCCCUCCAGAAUAUUCCUCCAGAAUAUAAAAUGCCUCACCAACAUGAGACAACAGCAGGAAGCACCCAUUUGUAGUAAUCCUCUGUAUGGAGGAGGCUGUUACAUAACCACAAAGGCACAAAGCUGCAGUUUUGAGAACAUCUUCCCACGCCAGUUCUAAGCAUUGACCUCAACUAUGGUUGCUAACACAAGAAUCCGCACUGGUGACUUUUGAGCCAUCAAUCAUCCUUUCCUAACACAUGAUUCUUUUGGAAAAUGGUCUCAAAUAGUCAAGACCCCCUGCUGGGGGGAGCGUCUAUCCUGCUCUGUGGAA
This 844-nucleotide non-coding RNA is filed under the name Pongo abelii (Sumatran orangutan). Lineage: Eukaryota; Metazoa; Chordata; Mammalia; Primates; Hominidae. The record is from RNAcentral.